RNAcentral lists this transfer RNA (74 nucleotides) under Dermacentor andersoni. RNAcentral's name for it is "transfer RNA isoleucine (anticodon AAU)". It matches the Rfam family "tRNA". From Rfam's summary of the family: Transfer RNA (tRNA) molecules are approximately 80 nucleotides in length. Their secondary structure includes four short double-helical elements and three loops (D, anti-codon, and T loops). The record is from RNAcentral. Lineage: Eukaryota; Metazoa; Arthropoda; Arachnida; Ixodida; Ixodidae.
GGCCUGCUAGCUCAGUCGGUUAGAGCGUCGGGCUAAUAACGCGAAGGUAGUAGGUUCGAUCCCUGCGCAGGCCA